CCUACGGGAGGCAGCAGUGGGGGAUAUUGCACAAUGGGGGGAACCCUGAUGCAGCGACGCCGCGUGGGUGAAGGAGUGCUUCGGCAUGUAAAGCCCUAUCGGCAGGGAAGAAGCAAGACGGUACCUGACUAAGAAGCCCCGGCUAACUACGUGCCAGCAGCCGCGGUAAUACGUAGGGGGCAAGCGUUAUCCGGAUUUACUGGGUGUAAAGGGAGCGUAGGUGGCAUGGUAAGCCAGAAGUGAAAACCCGGGGCUCAACCCCGCGGAUUGCUUUUGGAACUAUCAGGCUGGAGUGCUGGAGGGGG
This 305-nucleotide ribosomal RNA is filed under the name uncultured bacterium. RNAcentral describes it as "bacterial SSU rRNA". It matches the Rfam family "Bacterial small subunit ribosomal RNA", at positions 338 to 658 of the family's 1533-position model. The record is from RNAcentral.